CUGCUGCCUUCCGUAGGAGUUUGGUCCGUGUCUCAGUACCAAUGUGGGGGACCUUCCUCUCAGAACCCCUAUCCAUCGUCGGUUUGGUGGGCCGUUACCCCGCCAACUGCCUAAUGGAACGCAUGCCUAUCUAUCAGCGAUGAAUCUUUAGCAAAUAUCCCCAUGCGGGGCCCCUGCUUCAUGCGGUAUUAGUCCGACUUUCGCCGGGUUAUCCCCCUCUGAUAGGUAAGUUGCAUACGCGUUACUCACCCGUGCGCCGGUCGCCGGG
This 268-nucleotide ribosomal RNA is filed under the name uncultured bacterium. RNAcentral's name for it is "partial 16S ribosomal RNA". The record is from RNAcentral.